RNAcentral lists this ribosomal RNA (253 nucleotides) under uncultured bacterium. RNAcentral's name for it is "partial 16S ribosomal RNA". It matches the Rfam family "Bacterial small subunit ribosomal RNA", at positions 524 to 776 of the family's 1533-position model. The record is from RNAcentral.
UACGAAGGGGGCGAGCGUUGUUCGGAUUUACUGGGCGUAAAGGGCGCGUAGGCGGCCUUGUCAGUCAGGCGUGAAAGCCCCGGGCUCAACCUGGGAACGGCGCUUGGGACGGCGAGGCUGGAGUUCGGGAGAGGAGAGUGGAAUUCCCAGUGUAGAGGUGAAAUUCGUAGAUAUUGGGAAGAGCACCGGUGGCGAAGGCGGCUCUCUGGACCGACACUGACGCUGAGGCGCGAAAGCGUGGGGAGCAAACAGG